RNAcentral lists this ribosomal RNA (652 nucleotides) under uncultured archaeon. RNAcentral describes it as "bacterial SSU rRNA". It matches the Rfam family "Archaeal small subunit ribosomal RNA", at positions 99 to 754 of the family's 1478-position model. The record is from RNAcentral.
CGUAGUCAACAUGCCCAGGGGACGUGGAUAACCUCGGGAAACUGAGGAUAAACCACGAUAAGUCACUACUUCUGGAAUGGGUAAUGACUCAAAUCUACAUGGCCCCUGGAUUGGACUGCGGCCGAUCAGGCUGUUGGUGAGGUAAUGGCCCACCAAACCUGUAACCGGUACGGGCUCUGAGAGGAGGAGCCCGGAGAUGGGCACUGAGACAAGGGCCCAGGCCCUAUGGGGCGCAGCAGGCGCGAAACCUCUGCAAUAGGCGAAAGCCUGACAGGGUUACUCUGAGUGAUUUCCGUUAAGGAGAUCUUUUGGCACCUCUAAAAAUGGUGCAGAAUAAGGGGUGGGCAAGUCUGGUGUCAGCCGCCGCGGUAAUACCAGCACCCCGAGUGGUCGGGACGUUUAUUGGGCCUAAAGCAUCCGUAGCCGGUUCUACAAGUCUUCCGUUAAAUCCACCUGCUUAACAGAUGGGCUGCGGAAGAUACUAUGGAGCUAGGAGGCGGGAGAGGCAAGCGGUACUCGAUGGGUAGGGGUAAAAUCCGUUGAUCCAUUGAAGACCACCAAUGGCGAAGGCGGCUUGCCAGAACGCGCUCGACGGUGAGGGAUGAAAGCUGGGGGAGCAAACCGGAUUAGAUACCCGGGUAGUCCCAGCUGU